UGGGGGAUAUUGCACAAUGGGCGAAAGCCUGAUGCAGCGACGCCGCGUGGGGGAUGAAGGCUUUAGGGUUGUAAACCUCUUUCGCUAUCGAACAAGGCCCGCUUAGGGUGGGUUGAGGGUAGGUGGAGAUGAAGCGCCGGCUAACUACGUGCCAGCAGCCGCGGUAAUACGUAGGGCGCGAGCGUUGUCCGGAAUUAUUGGGCGUAAAGGGCUUGUAGGCGGCUUGUUGCGCCUGCUGUGAAAACGCGGGGCUUAACUUCGCGCGUGCAGUGGGUACGGGCAGGCUUGAGUGUGGUAGGGGUGACUGGAAUUCCAGGUGUAGCGGUGGAAUGCGCAGAUAUCUGGAGGAACACCGAUGGCGAAGGCAGGUCACUGGGCCAUUACUGACGCUGAGGAGCGAAAGCAUGGGUAGCGAACAGG
Molecule: ribosomal RNA, 420 nt
Filed under: bacterium
Lineage: Bacteria
Description: partial 16S ribosomal RNA
Rfam family: Bacterial small subunit ribosomal RNA
Source: RNAcentral